CCUGUCACCUUUUCUGAAGAGGACCGGAAGUGGAGUUUCUGACCUAUUGCGGCCCAAUCGAGCCCCGCGCCCAUGGGGGCCCUGCACAGCCGCAUCACAGCAAGAGCAAGGAUUUGCUGCCUUUCUCCCUCACCAAUGUUUCCAUAUGCGCGCAGUAACACUGACCCGAUGAACUGCUCUGAAGCUCACCCCAGGGCAGUAUCUGUUUUCUUUUUUUUUUUUCUGUUCGCUGGCUUUAUAAAUAGUAGCAGAUUUAUUACACUGCCUUAUGAAUUGUAAGCCUUUCCUUGCUAG
Long non-coding RNA from Xenopus laevis (African clawed frog), 294 nucleotides. RefSeq lists it as uncharacterized. The record is from RefSeq and is a predicted model, not a curated record. The transcript has 2 exons. NCBI's taxonomy places the organism in Eukaryota, Metazoa, Chordata, Amphibia, Anura, Pipidae.